This 1755-nucleotide long non-coding RNA is filed under the name Helianthus annuus (common sunflower). Its description in RNAcentral is "hypothetical non coding rna". The record is from RNAcentral. Lineage: Eukaryota; Viridiplantae; Streptophyta; Magnoliopsida; Asterales; Asteraceae.
AUAAGUGUGUUUCUGGUCGACAUUUUCACCAGACAAGGAAAGGUUCUUCUCUUGAACCCUAAAUUACAAAGAAAUGCUCAAAUCAAAGGGGAAAUCAAGCUAAAAAUUGGGGCUUUUAUUAAAUUCAAUGAUCACCAAGUCAUGGGAAUCACAAGUUUGACUCUUGACGAGCUAGGUGAAGCUUGGAGGAGAUGAUCAAACGGGAUAAAGACACGAGUAAGACUUGCUUGGAUGAAAGGUAAGUAAAGCUUACACCUAUUUUUUUUUAUUAGCAUACGUAUUUAUUCUAUAGGUGAUAAAUACAACAAUAGAUCAUGUUCGAAUUAUGGGUUCCGACACGAAACAAAAUGGGUCGGAACGAAUAAAAACGUUUAAAAUCAUGAUUAUUGGUGAAAGAGGUAAAAUGGUAAUUUAGUCAUAAAUCGACUAAGAAUUUAUGAGUUUUCUUAAAGUUACCUCAUAGCUUAACUAAUAAUGGAAAAAGGGGUAAAAUGGUAAUUUGGUCACGUGAUGACUAAUUUAAUCGAGAUUAAAAGGAUACCCACGGCGUAAGCCGAACUGGGUCAAAUGUGUAAGAAAAAAAAGGGAAAUUUUUAUGGUAAAAUCCGUAAUGGGUCGGAUGCGUGAUUGAGUAAUUAGAAACCAUGAUUUGUAAUAAAUAUAAUUGUUUGGUCGUAUAGACCAAAUGGGUCAAAUGAUGGUGAUAACAUCAUAUGACCAUAUCGACUAAUGUUGGUUGUUAAGUCAUAUGUUUACAGGAACGAAUAGCAAUUUGGAUAAUUGCGUCGUCAUAGAAUAUUGAAUUAAUAAUAGCAAGGUAUAAACGGGUCUAUACGUUGACUCGAGCCAGGUACGCUUAUAUAUAGAUUUAUAGUUAAAAGUGUUUAACUUCCCUUAACGGGUCAAAAUGAGUAGAUAGGUAAAACGGGUUAAGAAUUCAUAAGAAACCCGUAAUUUGAACCUUGCAUAUUAGUAAAUUGAUAUAACGUGAUAUGCAUGAUAUUUUGAAAAGGUAAUAAACAAGUUUGUUUGAUAAAUCACGAACGGGUCAAAAAGUGUCAUAAUUGAAUUUCAAGCCGAGAGCUUGAAAGUUAAAAUUUUGUGAAUUUAGAUGUCGGGUUUUCACUCCGUAAGAUGGAGGAUUAAAUUACGAACGCGUAGGAAAAAGAAUCGCGAAAAACGGACUUGUAGAAUGAAAGUUAUGCCAAUUUAAAGUUUGAAAUUUGUUAAAAUUGGAGCUGGGCAGAAAAUUGCAGGUUCAGAUAUAAACCUGCUGGAAACUGGUCACCCCCGCGACACGCGAAGGGGAAACAAGGUCCGGGCGCGACACGCGACAGGUGUCGCGGCACGCGACACAUCUAGUUGAGUCUCUCGCGACACGUGAGAGACAUAAAGGCUGAAAAAAAAUUAUUAUUUUGGUUAAUUGUUUGAUGCGUAGAACUUGUUUAAACUUAUAUUUAAGUUAUCAAAACUAACUUUUAGGUUGGUUUUGAUCACAGGUGAAUAUCGAAAGUACCCGGACGAAGAUCAAGCGACGAGAAAGAACCGAACACAUGAAGAAGAAGCUUCCGCACGUAGUUUCGUCGAAUUUUUUAAACGACAAACUAACUACAUUAUGUUGUUCUAAACUUUAAAUUAUAAAAUUUUUAAUAAACCCGUACUUUGUAAUGUAUAUGUGCUCUUAAUCACAUGUUUAUUAUCUUAAAUUAUACGAAAAUCGUUAAAUAAUAUUAAGGGUGUUACAUGAACCCUUAU